Molecule: small nuclear RNA, 104 nt
Organism: Choloepus didactylus (southern two-toed sloth)
Lineage: Eukaryota; Metazoa; Chordata; Mammalia; Pilosa; Megalonychidae
Source: RefSeq, a predicted model, not a curated record
AUGCUUGCUUCAGUGGAAAUACUAAAAUUGGAACAAUACGUAGAAUAUUAGCAUGGCCCCUAUGCAAGGAUGACAUGCAAAUUUGUGAAGUGUUCCAUAUACUA